UCUUGGUUAUAGGUGUAGUGGAGGGGAAUAACAAGAGAUGGGGACUGAAUAGGUGUUACCCCAGGAAGCAGGGUGAGGAAAAGGGGACUUGAUUCCAAGACACACCUUCCUUUUGUUCUUCCAGCUAAGGCAGCCUAAUGAAAUCCUUGCUUACCAGAUGCCAGGUCAAGGAGGAUAACAGCCAAGCACCUCUUCAGCCUUCCUCUUUUCAGAGAGGUUGGUCAGAGAGAAAUGAUGUGAAGUGAUGGAGCAACCAGACCACUCCAAGAAGAAGUGAGUCCAGAAGAUCAGCUUUGGCCAACUGCCCCUCCUUUCCAUACUUCUAUAGAAUCUCUCCCUUCCCCCUCUGGGGUCUGUAAGGUUCCAUCAUAUUUCUCUUGAGCUCUUCUUCUUUUGUAUUUCAUCUCUUCUGUCUGUGCCCAUUUCUCUCAAUCACAUAGGUUUAAGGUCAAAAUGCCUGUAAACAAGAUUUGAUACCACCCUAA
This is a long non-coding RNA of Monodelphis domestica (gray short-tailed opossum), 485 nucleotides long. RefSeq lists it as uncharacterized. Lineage: Eukaryota; Metazoa; Chordata; Mammalia; Didelphimorphia; Didelphidae. The record is from RefSeq and is a predicted model, not a curated record.